GAUGAACGCUGGCGGCGUGCCUAAUACAUGCAAGUCGAGCGAACGGACGAGAAGCUUGCUUCUCUGAUGUUAGCGGCGGACGGGUGAGUAACACGUGGAUAACCUACCUAUAAGACUGGGAUAACUUCGGGAAACCGUAGCUAAUACCGGAUAAUAUUUUGAACCGCAUGGUUCAAAAGUGAAAGACGGUCUUGCUGUCACUUAUAGAUGGAUCCGCGCUGCAUUAGCUAGUUGGUAAGGUAACGGCUUACCAAGGCAACGAUGCAUAGCCGACCUGAGAGGGUAACCGGCAACACGGGAAGGGAGACCCGCCCAAGCCCCCUCAGGAGGACCCGAAUGGGAAUUUUUCGGCACGGGGCGAGAGCCAGACGGCGCAACGCCGCGUAGGUAAUGAGGGUUUUCGGUUUGAAAACCUUUUUUAUUAGGAAAGAACAUUUUUGAAGGAACCUGAGCAGUUUUUAACGGUCCUUAAGAAGAAGCCCGCGGAAAACUCCGGC
This 497-nucleotide ribosomal RNA is filed under the name uncultured bacterium. RNAcentral's name for it is "partial 16S ribosomal RNA". It matches the Rfam family "Bacterial small subunit ribosomal RNA", at positions 28 to 508 of the family's 1533-position model. The record is from RNAcentral.